AGAGUUUGAUCCUGGCUCAGGACGAACGCUGGCGGCGCGCCUAACACAUGCAAGUCGAACGAGCGAGAGAGAGCUUGCUUUCUCAAGCGAGUGGCGAACGGGUGAGUAACGCGUGAGGAACCUGCCUCAAAGAGGGGGACAACAGUUGGAAACGACUGCUAAUACCGCAUAAGCCCACGGUGCCGCAUGGCACAGAGGGAAAAGGAGCAAUCCGCUUUGAGAUGGCCUCGCGUCCGAUUAGCUAGUUGGUGAGGUAAUGGCCCACCAAGGCGACGAUCGGUAGCCGGACUGGGAGGUUGAACGGCCACAUUGGGACUGAGACACGGCCCAGACUCCUACGGGAGGCAGCAGUGGGGAAUAUUGCACAAUGGGGGAAACCCUGAUGCAGCGACGCCGCGUGGAGGAAGAAGGUCUUCGGAUUGUAAACUCCUGUUGUUGAGGAAGAUAAUGACGGUACUCAACAAGGAAGUGACGGCUAACUACGUGCCAGCAGCCGCGGUAAAACGUAGGUCACAAGCGUUGUCCGGAAUUACUGGGUGUAAAGGGAGCGCAGGCGGGAAGACAAGUUGGAAGUGAAAUCUAUGGGCUCAACCCAUAAACUGCUUUCAAAACUGUUUUUCUUGAGUAGUGCAGAGGUAGGCGGAAUUCCCGGUGUAGUGGUGGAAUGCGUAGAUAUCGGGAGGAACACCAGUGGCGAAGGCGGCCUACUGGGCACCAACUGACGCUGAGGCUCGAAAGUGUGGGUAGCAAACAGGAUUAGAUACCCUGGUAGUCCACACUGUAAACGAUGAUUACUAGGUGUUGGAGGAUUGACCCCUUCAGUGCCGCAGUUAACACAAUAAGUAAUCCACCUGGGGAGUACGACCGCAAGGUUGAAACUCAAAGGAAUUGACGGGGGCCCGCACAAGCAGUGGAGUAUGUGGUUUAAUUCGACGCAACGCGAAGAACCUUACCAAGUCUUGACAUCCGUUGACCGCUGUAGAAAUACAGUUUUCCUUCGGGACAGCGAGACAGGUGGUGCAUGGUUGUCGUCAGCUCGUGUCGUGAGAUGUUGGGUUAAGUCCCGCAACGAGCGCGACCCUUAUGGUCAGUUACUACGCAAGAGGACUCUGGCCAGACUGCCGUUGACAAAACGGAGGAAGGUGGGGAUGACGUCAAAUCAUCAUGCCCUUUAUGACUUGGGCUACACACGUACUACAAUGGCGUUAAACAAAGAGAAGCAAGACCGCGAGGUGGAGCAAAACUCAGAAACAACGUCCCAGUUCGGACUGCAGGCUGCAACUCGCCUGCACGAAGUCGGAAUUGCUAGUAAUCGUGGACCAGCAUGCCACGGUGAAUACGUUCCCGGGCCUUGUACACACCGCCCGUCACACCAUGAGAGCCGGGGGGACCCGAAGUC
RNAcentral lists this ribosomal RNA (1399 nucleotides) under metagenome. RNAcentral describes it as "bacterial SSU rRNA". It matches the Rfam family "Bacterial small subunit ribosomal RNA". The record is from RNAcentral.